This is a long non-coding RNA of Harpia harpyja (harpy eagle), 7233 nucleotides long. RefSeq lists it as uncharacterized. The transcript is spliced from 6 exons. The record is from RefSeq and is a predicted model, not a curated record. NCBI's taxonomy places the organism in Eukaryota, Metazoa, Chordata, Aves, Accipitriformes, Accipitridae.
UUAUUGUGAGAUUGUGUAUUAUGUGGCUGUCACACCUAUCCUUGAAGAAUUGCACUGACCAGUGUGUUGAACCCCGCUUCAUGUUAGAGAGCAAGCCCAGCGGUCCCUGUGUUUGUGUAGGAGCUGUGGAGUUGAAGAUCAUGAGGGUCACUGUAUUUGCUGCUCAUGUGGGCCGCCUUUUCUGCACUGAAUUGGCACAGCUCCAUUAAGCAAAGCCAGACAGUGCUACCGUUGCUGGCUUGCGGGCACAGCAGCCAAGUCUACCCCCCCCCAGCCGCCAAUCAAAGGGGCGCUGCCGAAGCAGGGCUGCUCCUGCGAUAAAAGUGUAGGAAGCUCAUGGCUGCAGAGUAAUGCAGACAAAGCACGAGUGAGAGGGAGACAAAAGGGAUGGAGUCCCAGAAGAUGUGAUCCACCCUGUUAAAGGAAACGUCCGUAGCCUCUGCAGCUGUGUUUAUGCUGCUUCACACAAUAAGCACCAGCCUCUCAUUCCCCCGGGAGAUUUUUACAGCAUUAAUUCACUCUGCACAAAACCCAGCCUGCAAGGCUCCUCUUCAGCAGCGACCUUUUCAUCCCUCCAGCUCCCCCCGUUUCUGAGAACCCUGCCCGCAGGAGCUGCAUCCCUCUGGCUGACCUCCCAUUGCUCUCGAUCAAAUGUCACCUGUACCCGAUGAAGCAGACCCCGAAGUGCCGCGAAUGGAUCCCAGGAUUCUUAUUUUCCUUCUCUACGUGAUGAUCCUUCAUGAGCUGGUGAGUGGCUGGAUGGAGUACCAGAAGCAGAUAGCCAAACCGAAGAAGCAGGCGGGUCCAGUUUGGUCUUCUAGCAACACCACCAGAUCCAACCACUCCAGCUUCUCCAGGCCUCUGGUCCACUCAGUGCGCAGGGAGAGGUACAGGGACUGGAGGAAACCGGGGCGGAUCAUCCGGAAAGCAUGAGGAUGCAUCUGUUGGGGAGCAUGGGGAGAGAUUACUGAGCCAGAGGCAACCAUCCCUCAUGAGGUCUGCACCGACUUACCACCUGUCAGCAGCAGCUGGCAUGAGAGCAUCCUCCAGGCACCGUGAUCUGCAACCUGCAGCUUUCUCCUUUGCACUGAGCCUGGCACGGCCGAGAAGGAACCAGCCCCUUCCUCCUGGGAACCUGUCCCUGCGUGGUGAGGAGCCAGGGUGGAGACACCUCAGCCAGCAGCGGGAUCGCUGGAGGUGGGACUAGGCUUUUGCCACCCAACACAGUGAAGUGACUUUUCUUUCUUCUUCCCAAAGGGUCGAGUAGAUGGAGAGUAGAUUUCUUGGGGGAAGAAUGAAAUUUGCUCCUGCAUGGGCAAUCCUGGGAAGCCUCCAAAUGGUUUCAGUCUCCUCUCCUUCCUCCCAAGGACUGUGUGGCUAGUAAGCAGCAUUUCCCAAAGUGACUGGAAAGUCUUUGGUGUCCAGUUUGUCACCAUUCCCAGGAGAACUUGCCUCCACUGGGGCACCUGGAAGUCACAACACUUUGGAAAUGCUGGCUCCCCAUUAAGUCUCAUUCACUGGGAGUCUGUACAUUUUUUUCUGCUUUUCUUUACCUUUGUUAAAUGAGUUACUCUGAGGUGAAAGGAGAAAGCGCCCUGAACCAGUGAUGCAGAGUUACGCCACCAAAUGCAAUUUACUGCAAUGACCUUGUAAUUAGAUUUCUUUGGAGCAUUCCCAGCAGUCGAGCCAAAUGUAAGAGCAACUUUCUAAUGAGCAGAUAGAUGGGAAAGGAAUACAAUAUUGCUCUUGUAUUAAAGUCUGUGAUUUAGGCAUAAAAUCAGAUUUUGAGAGGCAAAAGUCAGUUGUCGCAUCCUGCCACCCCACAUAGCGGUUGUAUGCAGGAUGGGAAUUGCUGAGCGCAGGAGAGAUUCUGACACUGAGCUCCUAACAGCAAAUGUCCCUGGCCAAACUGCCUGCCUUAUUUGCUGAACAAAAUGUUUGGCUCAAAAGCAGCCUGUUUUUCUCGUUGCCAACCAUUUAUAAACCUGACUCAGGCUCACAGACGCAUUAUCCAGAAGUAGAUAGGGAAGAGAGUCGGAAUAGAUUAUGCAUUCAUUAUCCAGAAGUAGCCACCAGAUACAUUUGCACAUUUGUCUGCUGCUCAGUUAUUUGCAAAUUGUUCCUGUCGGUUAACACUGUGUUUGUUCAGUCACCCACGGCAGGAGUCACCUGGCCCAAGGUAGAGCUAUGCACCUGAGCUAGGCAUCCAGACCCCUGUGCUGCAGAGGGGCACGUGAGGGGCUGUGAUCCAUCUCCUCCAAAGUUAAACAUCAAGAGCAAGCUAGCUGAACCGUGCUUUUGAAGUGCCCCAUCCUCUAUUCCAGGCAGGCUGGAUAAGAAACUCAGAUGUCAACCUCUACUUUUAGGGGAGAUGAAGUUUUUGCCUUGGGAGGUUAAGUUCAUGCCUUGUGUUUGGAUAUUUUUGAAAAAGGAGAUAGGUGUAGCAGUUAACACUUUCUGCACAUUUCAAAGCAUAAACUCUCCGCAAAGAUGUGCCUCAGCUCUGUGACACUGUGGCUAUUUUCUGAGGCAUCCACUGCCUAUCCUAAUACAUGCAGGUACAUCCACAAGUAACAGAGCAACAAAUGGAGAAGGUGUCAGGAGGAAAAAUACUCAAAAAGUGUUUCUGGGUGGUGGGGGACUUUGCUUUCCUAGAGUUGAUUCUGCGCUGGUCUUAUGGGGGACGUGCAGCUGGAUGUUCUCCCUGCUCUUCUGCUAGAGUGUGUGUGAAUUUGCUGGGAGCACUUGCUAUUCAAAAAGUGUUUACAUUAAUUACUGAAGUGGUGCAGGAUAGGACUGGCCUCACUGCACAGGCUGGGCUCCCAGCCUCAAUGGGACAGACUGACCUGAGCAGGGACAGGUGGACCUGAAUGGGGCAGGCAGAUGUCCUGACUGCUGCACCCUUAAGGAGUGGUGAAGGGACAGGAACGCCUUGCUCUGCUGAUCAUAUGCUGGAUUUAGCACCAUAAAUAUCGUCGUGUUUACUUCCAAUAAACUCUUUUACAUACAUGGUGUUUAGAUUGUCUCCGUUCUCAUUCAGGCCUUGCAUCUCUACUAGUUUUGGCUUUCCCAGCCUGGGAGCCAGCAACGGCGGUGGCUGGAAGCCACCGCAAAGGGACAGCUGGUGGUGUAAGGGGUGAUCCAGUAUGGCCAAAAGCAUCUUUGAUGCUGAAUUUAUAGCACAAAUGUUUGUUCUCUCAUCCUUUAUGCAGAUGAACAUGUGACUGCAAACCAGAGUCUUGUUUUGGAUGGUUGUAGGCUUUGCUUUUUUUUUUUUUUUUUUUUUUUUUUUUUUGCAAAUAUUCAAGUUGCUCUGCAGCUCUGUUGGAGAAAGUCCUGCCCAAGAAAUGUACCUCGUAGUGGGAGCCGACGAUGGCAGAGAUCUUGGGAUCCACCAAUCUUCAGUGGUGUGGACCCCCAGAGACCUGAGGGAGCGAUGCAACCCAACGGCCUAAGUCCAGGCCUCUGCAGGGGCUCACCUUCAAGUUGGUAUUUGCACAAUUAACUGGGUUGGUCCAGGCUAACAAGGAUGCAGUCAAGGGUGGCCAGCCUGCAUCUGUUUGCUGAGGGGCUGUGCUCCACUCACCGGCAUCUCCUAGACCUUCCCCUGGUGAGAGCAACCCCAGAGGAUUUUGGAGGAUUUUGAGCAGAAGCAAGCUGUUCUCAUAAAUCAGCUGCUGCUUUUCCUGCCUGCAGCUCUCUGAGCUGCUGCAGUUUCACUACUGAGAUCUCCUUUCCACCGUGCAACCAGGGGGUCUCUGGAGCAUCUUCCUGCCCAUCAGUUCUUCUUCUCUUGGAAUCAGUUUCUAAAGGCAAAACUCUCUAUGGGUGUAGUCCCAUGCAAUGCUGUUGAGAUUUCAUAAGGGUGGAAACAGGUGAGUGUUUUUUACAUAAAGAGUGAGCAAAAUCCCUGUAAUGCUCAGAGACGCAGGGCUGGAUGCCGGUUCUGAUUCCUCCCUUCCCUUUAAACAUCCAGAUUAUCUCUAAUUCUAUUGCCGUUUUCCAGGUAAGUGUGUGACUAACGGCUUGUGUGAUUCACCUUAAGUGAAAAUUAACUCUUUUUUUUCCCUGCUUUGCCUUGUUAAGUUAAAGCAGAUUUCAAAUUUUUGAGUAAUUCUUAGGUGUUUUCUUCUUACUGUUCAAAAUUUCUCCCCUCAGAGUACAGAUCCUCUGCCUCUUUCAUUAAGAAAUUAUUGCAUAUAUUAAAACUUGCUUUCUAUAGAGUGGGCAUCAAAUCCAGGCCAUGGUUAGUGUGGGGAAAAUGAAGCCCAUGACCUUGUGGAUUUUGGUCACCCUGAGAGCUGAGCUGGUCAUUGCCGCCACAGCAGUUCAGCUUUGGGUAGAAAAGAAAGGAUACACUUGUUGCCAGCAUGGCUGCUCACUGCAACGGGGUGGGACUUCUGGAGCUCUGUGGAUAAUGAUGCCAGAAGGCAGCCACAAAACAUUAUUAAAACAUCCUUAAUUUGGAAAGGUUCACUUUUGGGGAAGAGUAGUGAAAGACAGAGGAAAGCAAGCAGUUACUGGCCGCAAUAGCCGUCGACCUCUCUGUAUUAGAAGCCACCGUCUUUAGGUGAUGGCUUGGGAAAUAAUAAUCAGCAUUCCCCACCCCCCUGGGUUAGACUCUCAGUUUUGCCAAAAUGGGAGUUAAAGGCUAGAUUAAGGAAAUGACAUCCUGUUUCAGCAAGGCUUGGGGAAGCCCUGGUGAGGAUGAACUGGUUCUUGACCCCUCCUGAGCUGUUCAAGCCACGUUUCUUCAUCAGCUGCCACAUUCAGCCACCCUGAAGCACACAGGAAAGUGCAGUUUAAUUGCAAGUUUCUCUGGCUGACCGAAGCCAGGAGAGACCAAAGGUGCCUCUAUCUACAAAUGCAUCAGAUGUAAAAAUGCCUUUAAGCCUGUUUUCUCCCCAGAGUCUGUCCCACAUCCCUCGGGAUGCGGUGCAGAGCUGCAGAGCUGCGAGCUGUGACUGCAGCAGGGCAGGCUGAGAGCAUCUUCCUGGAAAUGGCUCAUUACACGGAGCCAUUAUCUCAAAGUGGCCCUGAGCAUUUUGGGGAGAUGCUGGGAUGCUACGUGGUCAUACCGCAAAGGCAGAGUGAGCAAUGACCAGUACAAGAGCCAGAGUGUAAAUCCAAGUGCUUGAAUAUAAUCAAAAGUGUCUGAUUUCAGAAUCAUUCACAUAUGGAUGUGAGGCUCCCAAAUGGCCAGGGAAAUAUUUUACUGCUGGUGAGACACCAAUGGGCUUAAAAGCUGCAUCCCAAAAAGGGACAGGCUCGGUGCCUGCCAGGCAGAGCCCAGUGCUGCCAUGACAGUCUCACUCCUCGCCCCAUCGUCGCUUCUGCCAACAGGAGCCUGUCACAAUUUUGGGGCACCCCAUGGUUGAGAUUUUGCUCAAUGGAAAGAGCAGCUUUGGAGGAUGCUAUGCUCCCAACUGUUGGUGCCACUGGCAAUGAAGAGGUACCUAAAGGGCGUGGGUGGAGAGAGCAGCAUCAGCCACCUGCCCCAUGGUCCUCCCUGCAGGAGAGACACCCAACUUGUGCAGCGGAGAUGCUCCCUUCACCAGGCUGUGAAUAAACAGCAGUGUCUUGUACCCAACAGGGUGUCCUGCUUGACAGGGUAGUGGGAGAAGUUUGGGUAUGGCAGCUGAGCAAGGUGGAUGGAGGGUGCAUGGGGGCUGCUCUGUCUGCAGGGCUGGGAAGUCUGGCAGCGGGAGAGGGAGUAGGUCGGUGAGCCCCUUGCCAACUGCGCUGUAACAAAACCGGCUGAAAUAAUUGUAGUGUGGGUGAUGCUGGGAUUUCACUAGUGGUUUUAAAUAUAGAGACUUUUGGAGCCAAGCAGUAACAGCAGCAUCUAUUUCAUCUUCUCCCAUCAGCAGUUAGUAGUGGUGAGCAUUUAAGCUGCUCCUGUGGUUCCUUUGUAGCCCUUUCUUUUUCCUUUGCAGCACAAUCAGAGAAAGUCAAGCUGAGCAUGGCAGGUUUGAGUCUGAUUCCCACGAGGUCAUAUAUUUGCAUGUGAAAAGCAAGACUUGGCCCCUUGCACUGCCAGGUCUCCUCCUGUGGAGGCUAGGAUAAAUAGUGGUCAACCUGUGGCCACAGAUCUUCAGGAUCAGGGAUUGUUUGAAAACCUGUCUCUGCUGCUUCAGCUAUUGUUGCCUCAGCCCUAAGAUGAUGAGCUCAGGUGGUUUCACUGCUUUCUCUUUUCCAACCCACCCCUUGCAGGUCAGCACAGAGGGGUCUUCUAAGUCCUUGGAGCCGCUGGCCUCCCUCACCUUCACGAACACCAGCACAGGCUGCAUGCCCCAGGGGCUGCACCCCACCAUCCCUGCCCUGGGGACCCUGAUCACAGCAUUUGCCAAAGUGCCCAGCAAAAAGAUGAAACCUCAUCUUUCAAAACCCAGAGUGGUUGAAGUGGGAAGGGACCUCUGGAAGUCAUCUGUUCCAACCAGCCUGCUCAAGGAGCAUCAGAAAGAGAUGGUUCCCCAGGACCACAUCCAGGUGGCUUUUGAGCAUCUCCAAGGAUGGAGACUGCACAACAUCCCUGGGCAAUCUGUGCCAGUGCUUGGACACCCUUGCUGUAAAAAAAGUGUUUCAUGACGUUCAGAGGAAGCCUCCUGUGUUUCCAGUUGUGCCUCUUGGCUCUUGUUCUAUCACUGGGCACCACUGAAAAGAGCCUGCGUCCAUCCACUUUGCACGUUCCUUCAGGUAUUUCUAGACACUGAUGAGAUCCCCAUGAGCCUUCUCUCUUCCAGGCUGAACAAUCUCAUCUCCCUCAGCCUCUCCUCAGGCAUCACAUGCUACAGUCCCUUCGUCAUCUUUGUGGCCCGCCCUUGCAUUCUCUCCAGUAUGUACACGACUCAGUCUUGUCCUGGGGAGCCCAGCACAAGAAGAAGGAGCCGACAACACAGCGCUCCAGGUGGCUUGAGCAGCCUCGGGAUGCUACAGACACCGUCCGGCUGCAGGGCAAGACCCCGCCAACCAGCCCAGACGUUGCUUUCUGCAUCCGUUAUCUGGGCCCAGCUUUUUUUACGUGUUGAUCCCUCAGAUGCUUCAGGAGUUGCCACUGAUUACAGGAGCAGGCCCUCGUCACACUUGUGUAACUCCAGUGCCUCCUGCUUCUUGCCAGGGAGAAGUCAGAACUAGCAACAUUAGCCUUCCCUACCUUUGUGCUGUUGUUAGUGCCCUCGCUAUCGCUGGCUGAUACAGGGGCUGCUGCCGACAUCUUUGUUUCGGGCCUACUUA